CAGCUGUGAACUGGCACAGUGGCAAACUUUCCUCAGAACUGCUUUCAUGUAGUCCGGGAGCUCCCAAGGAAUCCUGGGCCACACCAGAAGUCUUAUUCUUCUACAUGGCAAACUUCCAAGAAAAAAAGAACAAGGAACUGGACAUAUACUAUCAUAGUUUGAGCAGCUGCUGAGAGAAGAUGGACUACAUCAGACCGAGACAGUGGAACAGCGCUUUCACUGGGAUCCUAAACAAAGAGG
Molecule: non-coding RNA, 240 nt
Organism: Pogona vitticeps (central bearded dragon)
Lineage: Eukaryota; Metazoa; Chordata; Lepidosauria; Squamata; Agamidae
Source: RefSeq, a predicted model, not a curated record